GUGGGGAAUAUUGGACAAUGGGCGCAAGCCUGAUCCAGCCAUACCGCGUGGGUGAAGAAGGCCUUCGGGUUGUAAAGCCCUUUUGUUGGGAAAGAAAUCCAGCUGGCUAAUACCCGGUUGGGAUGACGGUACCCAAAGAAUAAGCACCGGCUAACUUCGUGCCAGCAGCCGCGGUAAUACGAAGGGUGCAAGCGUUACUCGGAAUUACUGGGCGUAAAGCGUGCGUAGGUGGUCGUUUAAGUCCGUUGUGAAAGCCCUGGGCUCAACCUGGGAACUGCAGUGGAUACUGGGCGACUAGAGUGUGGUAGAGGGUAGCGGAAUUCCUGGUGUAGCAGUGAAAUGCGUAGAGAUCAGGAGGAACAUCCAUGGCGAAGGCAGCUACCUGGACCAACACUGACACUGAGGCACGAAAGCGUGGGGAGCAAACAGGAUUAGAUACCCUGGUAGUCCACGCCCUAAACGAUGCGAACUGGAUGUUGGGUGCAAUUUGGCACGCAGUAUCGAAGCUAACG
Molecule: ribosomal RNA, 512 nt
Filed under: uncultured bacterium
Lineage: Bacteria
Description: bacterial SSU rRNA
Rfam family: Bacterial small subunit ribosomal RNA
Source: RNAcentral